GCUAGCAUGUGAUGUUUUCGCUCGUUUUGGGCGAGGCUCCAUUAAAAGGCUUUCAUUAUUAGAGUUCUCAGAGGAGCGAUCUUUUUCUUUCGAGAGGAUCAAAGUAAACUUUUUAUAGCAAGGAACGAGAUGUAUGCCGUGUUGAACUGGGUUAAUUUCUUCUGGAAUUAAUUGGCACUGUUCUGCAUGAUGAUUCUUACCUCCUAACGAC
This is a non-coding RNA of Paramuricea clavata, 211 nucleotides long. The record is from the annotation of a GenBank genome assembly. NCBI's taxonomy places the organism in Eukaryota, Metazoa, Cnidaria, Anthozoa, Malacalcyonacea, Plexauridae.